GAUGAACGCUGGCGGCGUGCUUAACACAUGCAAGUCGAACGGAAAGGCUCCUGCUUGCAGGGGUACUCGAGUGGCGAACGGGUGAGUAACACGUGGGUGAUCUGCCCUGCACUUCGGGAUAAGCCUGGGAAACUGGGUCUAAUACCGGAUAGGACGAUGGUUUGGAUGCCAUUGUGGAAAGUUUUUCGGUGUGGGAUGAGCUCGCGGCCUAUCAGCUUGUUGGUGGGGUAAUGGCCUACCAAGGCGUCGACGGGUAGCCGGCCGGAGAGGGUGUACGGCCACAUUGGGACUGAGGUACGGCGCAGACGCCUACGGGAGGCAGCAGUGGGGAAUAUUGCACAAUGGGCGCAAGCCUGAUGCAGCGACGCCGCGUGGGGGAUGCCGGCCUUCGGGUUGUAAACUCCUUUCGCUAGAGACGAAGCGCAAGUGACGGUACCUGGAGAAGAAGCACCGGCUAACUACGUG
This 465-nucleotide ribosomal RNA is filed under the name uncultured bacterium. RNAcentral describes it as "partial 16S ribosomal RNA". It matches the Rfam family "Bacterial small subunit ribosomal RNA", at positions 28 to 507 of the family's 1533-position model. The record is from RNAcentral.